CAGCUAAAGGGAUUGUU
RNAcentral lists this non-coding RNA (17 nucleotides) under Mus musculus (house mouse). Lineage: Eukaryota; Metazoa; Chordata; Mammalia; Rodentia; Muridae. The record is from RNAcentral.